RNAcentral lists this ribosomal RNA (490 nucleotides) under uncultured bacterium. RNAcentral's name for it is "partial 16S ribosomal RNA". It matches the Rfam family "Bacterial small subunit ribosomal RNA", at positions 30 to 507 of the family's 1533-position model. The record is from RNAcentral.
AUUGAACGCUGGCGGCAGGCCUAACACAUGCAAGUCGAACGGUAACAGGAAGACGCUUGCUUCUUUGCUGACGAGUGGCGGACGGGUGAGUAAUGUCUGGGAAACUGCCUGAUGGAGGGGGAUAACUACUGGAAACGGUAGCUAAUACCGCAUAACGUCGCAAGACCAAAGAGGGGGACCUUCGGGCCUCUUGCCAUCGGAUGUGCCCAGAUGGGAUUAGCUAGUAGGUGGGGUAACGGCUCACCUAGGCGACGAUCCCUAGCUGGUCUGAGAGGAUGACCAGCCACACUGGAACUGAGACACGGUCCAGACUCCUACGGGAGGCAGCAGUGGGGAAUAUUGCACAAUGGGCGCAAGCCUGAUGCAGCCAUGCCGCGUGUAUGAAGAAGGCCUUCGGGUUGUGAAGUACUUUCAGCGGGGAGGAAGGGAGUAAAGUUAAUACCUUUGCUCAUUGACGUUACCCGCAGAAGAAGCACCGGCUAACUCCGUG